GACGAACGCUGGCGGCGUGCUUAACACAUGCAAGUCGAACGGAAAGGCCCUGCUUUUGUGGGGUGCUCGAGUGGCGAACGGGUGAGUAACACGUGAGUAACCUGCCCUUGACUUUGGGAUAACUUCAGGAAACUGGGGCUAAUACCGGAUAGGAUCUCCUGCUGCAUGGUGGGGGUUGGAAAGCUUCGGCGGUUGGGGAUGGACUCGCGGCUUAUCAGCUUGUUGGUGGGGUAGUGGCUUACCAAGGCUUUGACGGGUAGCCGGCCUGAGAGGGUGACCGGCCACAUGGGGACUGAGAUACGGCCCAGACUCCAACGGGAGGCAGCAGUGGGGAAUAUUGCACAAUGGGCGGAAGCCUGAUGCAGAAACGCCGCGUGCGGGAUGACGGCCUUCGGGUUGUAAACCGCUUUCGCCUGUGACGAAGCGUGAGUGACGGUAAUGGGUAAAGAAGCACCGGCUAACUACGUG
Molecule: ribosomal RNA, 468 nt
Filed under: uncultured bacterium
Lineage: Bacteria
Description: partial 16S ribosomal RNA
Rfam family: Bacterial small subunit ribosomal RNA
Source: RNAcentral